This is a long non-coding RNA of Mya arenaria, 537 nucleotides long. RefSeq lists it as uncharacterized. NCBI's taxonomy places the organism in Eukaryota, Metazoa, Mollusca, Bivalvia, Myida, Myidae. The record is from RefSeq and is a predicted model, not a curated record. The transcript has 4 exons.
ACCGCAAAGGAUUAUGGUCUAUUGGAAAGUCGAAAAUGUUUGUCGAAAUAAUGCGCCAAAUAAACUGAAGUGUUGUUUCGUUUAUUAAAGCCGGCCUAAGUGAGCUAACAAAGAAAUCAUCAGUCCACAAAAGAAUCAACCAGGGAAGGAGAAAAACAUUCAAAGCUGCAAAUUGCCAAAUCCAUCACCGGCCUAAAGGAGCUAACAAAAAAAUCAUCAGUCCAGAAAAGAAUCAACCAGUGAAGGAGAAAAACAUUCAAAGCUGUAAAUUGCCAAAUCCAUCAGUUGGAAGAUGGAUGUCAAAGUCUCAGACAAAAGCUUCCAGAGUUAAGGAGAGAACACUUCAACAAAAACAAGCACGAGAAGAAUGACUGCAAAAAAGUUUUUCGCAGAUUCGUUUCCUUAUCAAGUGUAUUUAAGGAAAAUGGACCUGUCUACAGAGACUAGAUGUAAAUGUCAAGGACUGCAAUGAGCAAUUCAAUGACUCCUUUCUAAUUGUGUCAAGUGUCAUAAAAAAUUAAAACUGUUAUAAAUGGA